Molecule: ribosomal RNA, 495 nt
Filed under: uncultured bacterium
Lineage: Bacteria
Description: partial 16S ribosomal RNA
Rfam family: Bacterial small subunit ribosomal RNA
Source: RNAcentral
GAUGAACGCUGCGGCGUGCCUAAUACAUGCAAGUCGAGCGAACGGACGAGAAGCUUGCUUCUCUGAUGUUAGCGGCGGACGGGUGAGUAACACGUGGAUAACCUACCUAUAAGACUGGGAUAACUUCGGGAAACCGGAGCUAAUACCGGAUAAUAUUUUGAACCGCAUGGUUCAAAAGUGAAAGACGGUCUUGCUGUCACUUAUAGAUGGAUCCGCGCUGCAUUAGCUAGUUGGUAAGGUAACGGCUUACCAAGGCAACGAUGCAUAGCCGACCUGAGAGGGUGAUCGGCCACACUGGAACUGAGACACGGUCCAGACUCCUACGGGAGGCAGCAGUAGGGAAUCUUCCGCAAUGGGCGAAAGCCUGACGGAGCAACGCCGCGUGAGUGAUGAAGGUCUUCGGAUCGUAAACUCUGUUAUUAGGGAAGAACAUAUGUGUAAGUAACUGUGCACAUCUUGACGGUACCUAAUCAGAAAGCCACGGCUAACUACGUG